RNAcentral lists this ribosomal RNA (330 nucleotides) under uncultured Chloroflexota bacterium. Its description in RNAcentral is "bacterial SSU rRNA". It matches the Rfam family "Bacterial small subunit ribosomal RNA", at positions 28 to 351 of the family's 1533-position model. The record is from RNAcentral. Lineage: Bacteria; Bacillati; Chloroflexota.
GAUGAACGCUGGCGGCGUGCCUAACACAUGCAAGUCGAACGAACCUGAUUUGGAUUCUUCGGAUGACGAUGAUGGUUAGUGGCGGAUGGGUGAGUAACACGUAGGUGACCUGCCCCGAUGUGGGGAAUAACUGCUGGAAACGGUAGCUAAUACCCCAUGUGAUCGGCAAUUCGGUUUGUCGAUUAAAGCUUCGGCGCGUCGGGAGGGGUCUGCGGUCCAUCAGGUAGUUGGUAGGGUAAUGGCCUACCAAGCCGAUGACGGAUAGCUGGUCUGAGAGGAUGAUCAGCCACACUGGAACUGAAACACGGUCCAGACUCCUACGGGUGGCUG